GACGAACGCUGGCGGCGUGCCUAAUACAUGCAAGUAGAACGCUGAAGAGAGGAGCUUGCUCUUCUUGGAUGAGUUGCGAACGGGUGAGUAACGCGUAGGUAACCUGCCUUGUAGCGGGGGAUAACUAUUGGAAACGAUAGCUAAUACCGCAUAACAAUGGAUGACACAUGUCAUUUAUUUGAAAGGGGCAAUUGCUCCACUACAAGAUGGACCUGCGUUGUAUUAGCUAGUAGGUGAGGUAAUGGCUCACCUAGGCGACGAUACAUAGCCGACCUGAGAGGGUGAUCGGCCACACUGGGACUGAGACACGGCCCAGACUCCUACGGGAGGCAGCAGUAGGGAAUCUUCGGCAAUGGGGGCAACCCUGACCGAGCAACGCCGCGUGAGUGAAGAAGGUUUUCGGAUCGUAAAGCUCUGUUGUAAGUCAAGAAAGGGUGUGAGAGUGGAAAGUUCACACUGUGACGGUAGCUUACCAGAAAGGGACGGCUAACUACGUG
RNAcentral lists this ribosomal RNA (497 nucleotides) under uncultured bacterium. RNAcentral describes it as "partial 16S ribosomal RNA". It matches the Rfam family "Bacterial small subunit ribosomal RNA", at positions 28 to 507 of the family's 1533-position model. The record is from RNAcentral.